UGGGGAAUAUUGCACAAUGGGCGCAAGCCUGAUGCAGCCAUGCCGCGUGUAUGAAGAAGGCCUUCGGGUUGUAAAGUACUUUCAGCGGGGAGGAAGGGAGUAAAGUUAAUACCUUUGCUCAUUGACGUUACCCGCAGAAGAAGCACCGGCUAACUCCGUGCCAGCAGCCGCGGUAAUACGGAGGGUGCAAGCGUUAAUCGGAAUUACUGGGCGUAAAGCGCACGCAGGCGGUUUGUUAAGUCAGAUGUGAAAUCCCCGGGCUCAACCUGGGAACUGCAUCUGAUACUGGCAAGCUUGAGUCUCGUAGAGGGGGGUAGAAUUCCAGGUGUAGCGGUGAAAUGCGUAGAGAUCUGGAGGAAUACCGGUGGCGGAGGCGGCCCCCUGGACGAAGACUGACGCUCAGGUGCGAAAGCGUGGGGAGCAAACAGG
This 429-nucleotide ribosomal RNA is filed under the name Chloroflexota bacterium. RNAcentral's name for it is "Chloroflexi bacterium partial 16S ribosomal RNA". It matches the Rfam family "Bacterial small subunit ribosomal RNA", at positions 355 to 776 of the family's 1533-position model. Lineage: Bacteria; Bacillati; Chloroflexota. The record is from RNAcentral. RNAcentral also lists the same sequence under 1 other name.